CCUUGGAGCAGGUGUCAGAUGGUGGCUUGGAGUUACCACACUGGAAGAGGAGAAAGGCACUGAGGAGGGAGACUUCCGAGAGGUCACUCUCUUUGUUCAUGGUUUUCAGGAUUCAGACCAGACCAAUGACUGUUUUAACAUGGGGAAGUGAGCAAAAUAGCCAGUCGUCAUUGAUUUGUUCAGCCCAUUAGCAAGAUUUGAUACUCCAGAAGUGAGUGAGGCAAUCCCUGGCCUAAGUGUCCAUUAUUUCCUGUUGUAAAGAAAUGUGCUUACCCAGUAGCCGGCUCUGCUGGUGGUGGGGACACUCUUGGGGGAAGGCCAGCAGGCCAGAGUGGCCCUGCAUGGCUUGCUGUGCUCCUGACCUGAGUGGGUUCUCUAGGUGUCCAGCCUGUGCUGAAACCUCUAGACAGUGAGAAGCCUUCCCCCACCUGUGGACUCACAUUUGUAGACCACAUUCAAGAAACUCAGAAACUAGCCUGUCAUGGGAACUGAAAUCAGAUGCUCCUGCUCCCAGAUGAUAAAUCUGGUUAGUAAUUCAUGGCAGGAGGUGACACUAGCAGGGACCUAAAUACUCAAAAGCGUGUGUAACCAGCAAAUUGUCUCCCUGUGGGCAGAGCUAGACCUGUACAGGAAAGGGAAGCAUAACGGGGAGGCUGCUGGGUGAGUGCGAAGUCCACCUGAGGGUGUGAAUGCGUGCAGCAGCACCGGCCCUAGGCGCCGUGCAGCCAUCUGGCCUGGUGACACCCUUGGUGGCACUACGAGAGGACCAGACGCUCUUUGCCUGUUCCCUUCCCUCCCCAGUCUGCACUCAGAUUAGGUCUGAAAGAGUCACUCUCCACUGCAGAGUGUCAGAUGAGCCAUGCUUUGUGGCAUUUUCAUGCCUCCCAUCUUUUAAAAAAUGACAUCAGCCAAUUACUGAUUAAAAAUAGCGGUCAGAUAAGUCAUAAUGGUCUGGGAGACAGUUUGUUUAUUUAAAGUAGCCUUGAGCUGUUUUUGUGCUGAUCACAAAACUGAACUCUACUAUUUCCUCUCUUUCUGAACUUUUGGGGAAAUCCCUCAAGAGUGGACAACAGUGAGGAGUUUUUGCGGAGUGUGGUAAGUGCUGAGCUUAUUCAGGUGGAGGUGAGCCCAGGAUGCUAAGAGAUCACCUGACAGGUGCCACCCAUCAGGCCAGAGGGUGGAGGUCAUGGCCCAUGUAGUAGGGUGGUGCUCAUCAUCUCCUUGCUCGCAUUCCCCCAUAAAAUCCUUACUCCUAAGCCCUCUUGUCCCCUGUGUGCCUUGUUCAGAGUUAAUUGAACCAUACCAGACAAUUGAGCCUGGAGCAGUGGUUCUCAGGUACAGUUCUUGGAGCACCUGCCGAGCACCUCUUUCCUGAGGAAAUGGCCUCUGGAGUUGUCCUGCAUGGAAAGGGGCAUUUUUCACAUAAGCACUUGGUGACUCUUCAGUGCACCUGAGUUGGAAAGCCACUGCCUUAGAAGAAAGCAGAUGGCAGCACUUUUCAGAUUCGGAAUUUGGAUGAAGGGAUGCUGAUGAAUCUGUCAGGGAGGUGAGGCAGGCGGGGGGCUGGGACAGUGUCUUACUCCCUGUGCAUGUUGAAGUGGAGAAUAUCGGUCUGCUGAAAGGGGCAGGAGAAGGGAUCAGACAAGAAGAAAGGAGAGACUGCACACCAUGCUGCCCCUGGGAGAGAAGAGUAGCCUCCUCGGUUCCUGAUGUCAAAGUCCUCAAUCCCAGGCCCCUGUACGUGAGGUAGGUAGAACCAGUCAGGGGCUGGGUCUAGGGGCACCGUGGUGAGGGGCCAGAAGUAAGUAAGUGGAGAUGGGGCAGGAGCGUGGUGGGUUCUCCCACCCCCGGGGGCUAUGGGUCAAAAGAGGGCUGCAAGCUUUCUCUCUUUCCUCACACAUUGUCCCAGACACAUCCCAGUGUCCUGCAUGUGUCCCUGUUCAGUUGUUCACUGACCCAUGGUUUCUCUGAGUGAAGGCAAAGAUCUAUCCCACUUGUGAUGAAUUUCAUCCUUAUUAUGUGUUAUGUUAGUUGUUGGAUCCAUGCUUUUUUACUGAAUCUUAGGAAAUAGAAUUGUUAUAAAAUUUCCAUCACACAGACGCCAGUGGCACCACUGUUACCUAGCAGAUAUGGCCACUGUCCUGUGGUUCCAGAUGUCUCAACUCAUGAAUGAAAUUCCCUCUGCAUACAGAAGGCUGUAUUUAGGAACAGGCUCUUCAGAGGCUGAAGAGCAGCCAGAUGCCCAUCGGUGCCUUUAUCUGCCCAGCUGUGGAAAAGGCAGCUUUAUUACUGGCUCACAGCAUUUGGCCCCUCUCCUCCCCAUCCCUUGGUCCUCUGGCCCAGAGUCAGGCCAGUUCCUGUGGGCCAUCCCCUGACCUUGGCCAGUACUUGGCCAACGUUAGGAUUCCUACUCUGGAGAAAGCAAAAGGGAGAUGUGAAAGUGAGAGGUGUAUAAGAGUCCACCUUCAAGCCAGGAAGUGAAGGAGGUGAGUUUUCCCUGUGGCUGGAGCUCACCUUCGUCAGUGGUGAAGAUGAAAUGAGGGCUUUGGCAUGGAGCUCAGGGCCAGAGCAUGCCACAGGAAGGUGCAUGCAGACAGCACCGCAGGAUGCCUGGGCAUGCCUGGGGGCGUCAGCUCUGAGAGAGGCCUUGACAUGGGGAGCCCAUAGAGGAGAGCGAGGAGCUAAGGAGCAUCAGGAGACCCAGCACGAAGGAAAAGGAAGUGGGAAUUGAAUUAACUUCCACAUUGUAGAUUGAAUGUUUUCUUCCUGGUUGUGAACUUAAAAUAGCAUUCUAAAACGACAGGGGGAAAGGUUUCUUUUACUAGUCACCUAUUUGUCUAAUAGAUUUCCCCAUUUUGUGACUAGCCUUAUGUAAGCUUAUAUGGCCAUUGUCUCCUGUGUCAGUGGCUCUGUGACUGUAGCUCUAUGUGAGAGUGUGUCGCCUGUCACACCUUUCACACCUAGGCGUUCUCUUCUGUUUUGCCCUCCGAAGAGCACUAGAUCCCUUUAUGUGGACAUUGCCAUCAUUUUCUGUAUGCAAAUAAUGUGCUAUAUAUGCAGUAAGAACAACAUGUCUAGGUUUAUAAGGUUAAUAAUACAACAUAGCAGACCAGUGGGUGUGGCUUGCAAUUUCUACAUUGAAUAUUUUGCAGGUGCUUGAGUUUGUGUUAGAAUCGGGAAGUAAAGCUGUAAGUUUUCUUGAAACCUGACUUAACAAUUAGGUAACAUCAGGGUAGAGACUUCUGCUUGUUCCUUGUUAAUGAAAUUAACAUUCCUCCCAGGAGGAAUGCUGAGUUUGGGUGCAGUGACUUGAUGUAGUUAGAAUAGGGUGUGCUUGUCCCUACCUGAGUGACUUGAGCUUCCAGAGUGUGCAGUUGAAAUGCAGCGUUUCUCUGGGGAGGUCCGACACAGCUCUUGUUUUAUUGAUCUCUGCCAGUGUCAGAGGCCGAUCUCCCUUGGAAGUGUACACUUGGGAGGGGGGUCAAGCAGGCGUGGUCUACUGUGGUCUCUGCUGUUGUAGGCUACCCUUUACCAUUUAGGCCUAAGAGAGAUCCCAGCUUCUGUUUAAGUAGGUAGUCCUUCUCCUGAUUUAAGACGCUCCUCUGCUCUACACUGGAUCUGCACGAGUAGCUCUAGACCCUGUCAGGUCCUGGUGAGUAAUCAGUCCUUCUCCUGAUUUAAGACCCUGUUGGGUCCCAUGGUCCGCUGGUCCUCACACCACACCUUGGUGUUGGAGAGAACUUGGCUUCCAUGUGUUCGGGUCACCUUUCCAACAGACUCCCACCCCACAGACCUUCUUACAUAGAGUCAUGUUGAUAUUUCUGUGUAUACUCUUCCAGGAGAGCUGGGUCACAUGUCUGUCAAGACCUCUUACCAGAAGGAGAGUCACCUUUUUUGCUGCUGAUUGUUUUUGCAGUUUAUAUACAUCUUGUCCACUUAGGACCCACUUGGUGUCCUUCUGUAAGUUCUUAAGGGUGUUUGUUUUAGUUCUUAAGGUUUUGUCUGGAGUUCCAAAUGCUUUGUUAUAUAUUUAUGAGAAUUUUUUUUUCUACUAUUAAUGUAGAUUUUCCUACCUUGCUGUCCUUCUGGUGUGGGUUUUCAGUUCAGAAUAAUGCUUUUUCCACAUCCGCCCCUUUCCUAGGACUUCUCUGAGAAGAUGUUGAUAGUGGCUGUGGUGGGGCAUUGCUCCCCAUCAUGACCACCUUGGAGAGUAACUUAGUGUUUGAUGCUGCACUUGCUUGCACUUCCUUAAGUUGACCAUUGGCUGAGAGUAUAUGAGGAAGGACUGACGAAGUUAUCGACAAGUUACUUUGUAACUUGUACUGGCUGCGCGUGGGCCCCCCAACCCAUUAUGAAUAGCAGUGUACCCUUGUAGGACAUCAUCCUCCUAUUGUGGAAUAGCCUUUCAUGAGUUAUUUCUCAGACUUUGCUUGAUGGAAUUUAUUAAGUGUUUUUGCAUCUAAAUGCAAAAAAAAUGUUUAUUUAACAGUUUCUAUAAAAAUACUAGGAUGAAAAAGGCAACAGAUGCCUUCGGGGACCUGUGGGCAGGGUUUGGGUACAGUGCCCUGUUGGGGUCAAACAUAGUCCAGCACAUCUCUGAUUACUUGGGUGCCUUUCUAGACCAUUGUCGGGCAGACUCCUUCCUUAGCCUUAACAUUUCCUUCAAUGAUAUUAGACAAACCUGGAGACUUUCUUCCCCUCAACCACCUGCAAACACAUAUCUUCUGUUUUCUUCAGUGGUAGGCGUGGCUGUUGCCAUGGAGAAGCUGUCCUGGGGAAGUGGGGGCCGAGUGGGUAGAGCAGUUAUGCUUUUGAUUGGCCAGACUCGCUGUCCCAGGAAGAGGUCACCUGGCAUCUGGUCUGCCCCAGCGAGGGUGAGGUGAGUACGGGGCCCUGGCAGGCACUGACGCCAUGUCAGACUCCACUGCUGGUUGCCUCUGGGCUGUCAGUGGAGGACAGGGUGAGUCAGGGGUAGGGUUGGGCCCCUCGGCCAGGAGGGUCGCUGUCCCUUUUGCAUGCGGCCCACCUGGGCUCAGGUAGCCCUGCAGGAGGAUGCCUGCCAGUGCUGUCCGCCCUGACUCUGGCC
Molecule: long non-coding RNA, 5086 nt
Filed under: Marmota monax (woodchuck)
Lineage: Eukaryota; Metazoa; Chordata; Mammalia; Rodentia; Sciuridae
Source: RNAcentral